RNAcentral lists this ribosomal RNA (682 nucleotides) under uncultured bacterium. RNAcentral's name for it is "bacterial SSU rRNA". It matches the Rfam family "Bacterial small subunit ribosomal RNA", at positions 57 to 729 of the family's 1533-position model. The record is from RNAcentral.
GCAGUCGAACGGUAACAUAAAGAAGCUUGCUUCUUUGAUGACGAGUGGCGUUCGGGUGAGUAAUGCUUGGGAAUCUAGCUUAUGGAGGGGGAUAACUACGGGAAACUGUAGCUAAUACCGCGUAAUAUCGAAAGAUUAAAGUGUGGGACCUUCGGGCCACAUGCCAUAGGAUGAGCCCAAGUGGGAUUAGGUAGUUGGUGAGGUAAAGGCUCACCAAGCCGACGAUCUCUAGCUGGUCUGAGAGGAUGACCAGCCACACUGGGACUGAGACACGGCCCAGACUCCUACGGGAGGCAGCAGUGGGGAAUAUUGCGCAAUGGGGGCAACCCUGACGCAGCCAUGCCGCGUGAAUGAAGAAGGCCUUCGGGUUGUAAAGUUCUUUCGGUAGCGAGGAAGGCAUUUAGUUUAAUAGACUAGGUGAUUGACGUUAACUACAGAAGAAGCACCGGCUAACUCCGUGCCAGCAGCCGCGGUAAUACGGAGGGUGCGAGCGUUAAUCGGAAUAACUGGGCGUAAAGGGCACGCAGGCGGUGACUUAAGUGAGGUGUGAAAGCCCCGGGCUUAACCUGGGAAUUGCAUUUCAUACUGGGUCGCUAGAGUACUUUAGGGAGGGGUAGAAUUCCACGUGUAGCGGUGAAAUGCGUAGAGAUGUGGAGGAAUACCGAAGGCGAAGGCAGCCCCU